This 780-nucleotide ribosomal RNA is filed under the name uncultured Neocallimastigales. RNAcentral's name for it is "partial large subunit ribosomal RNA". It matches the Rfam family "Eukaryotic large subunit ribosomal RNA", at positions 23 to 635 of the family's 3401-position model. Lineage: Eukaryota; Fungi; Neocallimastigomycota; Neocallimastigomycetes; Neocallimastigales. The record is from RNAcentral.
GAGACUCUGUGCGCGUGCAUAUCAAUAAGCGGAGGAAAAGAAACUAACAAGGAUUCCCUUAGUAACGGCGAGUGAAGCGGGAAGAGCUAAAAUUUGAAAUCUUCAAGGUUCUACCUUGACGAAUUGUAGUUUAUAGAAGUGUUUUCUGUUAGUAGAGUGGCAAAAGUUCUUUGGAAUAGGACAUCAUAGAGGGUGAGAAUCCCGUAUUUGACCAUUAUUUCCAGCUGUGUGAUACACUUUCAAAGAGUCGGAUUGUUUGGGAAUGCAGUCCAAAAUGGGUGGUAAAUUUCAUCCUAAAGCUAAAUAUUGGCGAGAGACCGAUAGCGAACAAGUACCGUGAGGGAAAGAUGAAAAGAACUUUGAAAAGAGAGUUAAACAGUACGUGGAAGUUGUCAAAAGGGAAGCGUUUGACACCAGUGUUGUUUUCUCGAAAAUCAAUUAGCCGAAUGUUUGUGUUUAAGUAUUGACCUUAAUAGCUUUCUUCACUCUUUUCUUGUAACUUUUUUAAUGCACUUUUCGGUUAACAAGUCAACAUCAAUUUCUUUUGUUGUAAAAGGGUAUGAGGAAGGUGGCUUUCUUUUCGGAGAAAGUGUUUACUAGCCUUGUGCUUCUGCAAUCGGAGAGAUUGAGGUCUGCAGCGUAGAUCCUUCGGGGUUAGAUACAGUUUGUGCUAAGCUAUAGUUCUUUCAUAGACAACUUGUUGACUAUAGUCUAGUCCUGUAGCUUACUCGCUGAUGCUAUUUUACCUACGCUUAGGAUGUUGACAGCAGUAUAGACUGU